AGGAGUCUUUACGACCUACUCUGGA
RNAcentral lists this non-coding RNA (25 nucleotides) under Rattus norvegicus (Norway rat). Lineage: Eukaryota; Metazoa; Chordata; Mammalia; Rodentia; Muridae. The record is from RNAcentral.